AUGGUUGUUCUGAGAAUGCCACUUAAUAAAAAUGAGCUACUUUGCAAACUUCGAGGUCAUAUCAUGUCCAUUCAUAAUGCAGAUUCCCGAGAGAAAGAAUGGAUGCGUAGCUCCAAGCCCUACCCACUAAGUAUAAGUCUUAGACAACUACAAGACUUACUAAAGAAUACACGGGCUAUUGAUGUCGACAGUUUUAACAUGGUUGUUCGAGUAAAUGCUACAGACGACAUUCAAUGGGCUAAAGACACUCCAUAUCACUAUAUGGAUCUCAGAUUUUCUAUGAUACUAAAUGACUCUACACAAGAUCCAAAACUCCGUUUACCAUUUGAUGCCCAACGCUACAUUAUUGCAAAACUAUUUCAUUGUUGGCCUGAUAUGUGCUUUGACGUCUCGGUGUGCAAGUUGAUUUUGUUGCCGUUUUGUACAACCGGUCGCUUCAUCCUCUUCCUGUUCGACCUAUUGGAUAGAACAAUCACUAUACUCGACCCUCUUCCCCUAUCGGAUGCAUGGAAAAAAGAAUCCUUCACAGAAGAACAUAUUUAA
This 543-nucleotide ribosomal RNA is filed under the name Triticum aestivum (bread wheat). RNAcentral describes it as "partial small subunit ribosomal RNA". Lineage: Eukaryota; Viridiplantae; Streptophyta; Magnoliopsida; Poales; Poaceae. The record is from RNAcentral.